Molecule: unclassified non-coding RNA, 172 nt
Filed under: uncultured Campylocarpon
Lineage: Eukaryota; Fungi; Ascomycota; Sordariomycetes; Hypocreales; Nectriaceae
Description: sequence contains ITS1
Source: RNAcentral
CCGAGUCUCGAACUCACCAAACCCCUGUGAACAUACCAGUGUUGCUUCGGCGGUCGACCCCUCCGCCCUCCCCUCACCGGGUGGGCGGCGUGGUUCCGCCAGAGGACCAUAUCAAAACUCCUGUUUUUUUUCAGAAAGGAUUCCGCUCUGAGUAAACCAAAGAAAACCAUUA